GACUGUGUAUGAUGACUUGAUUAAUCAAUGGGAAUCUCUCUGAAAAAGAAUGAGGGACAUUUCUUGUGCUGAUGCAGUG
Small nucleolar RNA from Bufo gargarizans (Asiatic toad), 79 nucleotides. RefSeq annotates it as small nucleolar RNA SNORD79. The transcript has a single exon. The record is from RefSeq and is a predicted model, not a curated record. Lineage: Eukaryota; Metazoa; Chordata; Amphibia; Anura; Bufonidae.